AUAGGCGAAGCGUGCGAUUGGAUUGCACGUCUAAGCAGUAAGGCUGAGUAUUAGGCAAAUCCGGUACUCGUUAAGGCUGAGCUGUGAUGGGGAGAAGACAUUGUGUCUUCGAGUCGUUGAUUUCACACUGCCGAGAAAAGCCUCUAGAUAGAAAAUAGGUGCCCGUACCGCAAACCGACACAGGUAGUCAAGAUGAGAAUUCUAAGGUGAGCGAGCGAACUCUCGUUAAGGAACUCGGCAAAAUGACCCCGUAACUUCGGGAGAAGGGGUGCUCUUUAGGGUUAACGCCCAGAAGAGCCGCAGUGAAUAGGCCCAAGCGACUGUUUAUCAAAAACACAGGUCUCUGCUAAACCGUAAGGUGAUGUAUAGGGGCUGACGCCUGCCCGGUGCUGGAAGGUUAAGAGGAGUGGUUAGCUUCUGCGAAGCUACGAAUCGAAGCCCCAGUAAACGGCGGCCGUAACUAUAACGGUCCUAAGGUAGCGAAAUUCCUUGUCGGGUAAGUUCCGACCCGCACGAAAGGCGUAACGAUUUGGGCACUGUCUCAACGAGAGACUCGGUGAAAUCAUAGUACCUGUGAAGAUGCAGGUUACCCGCGACAGGACGGAAAGACCCCGUGGAGCUUUACUGUAGCCUGAUAUUGAAAUUCGGCACAGCUUGUACAGGAUAGGUAGGAGCCUUUGAAACGUGAGCGCUAGCUUACGUGGAGGCGCUGGUGGGAUACUACCCUAGCUGUGUUGGCUUUCUAACCCGCACCACUUAUC
RNAcentral lists this ribosomal RNA (761 nucleotides) under Staphylococcus aureus. RNAcentral's name for it is "partial 23S ribosomal RNA". It matches the Rfam family "Bacterial large subunit ribosomal RNA", at positions 1482 to 2240 of the family's 2925-position model. Lineage: Bacteria; Bacillati; Bacillota; Bacilli; Caryophanales; Staphylococcaceae. The record is from RNAcentral.